UCGACUUGAUCGAACCCUUCGGUCCUACUUCACGCACGAGACGCAGACGUCCACGUUCUCCAAAAAAAUGAAUCCAAGACGCAGGAACCGCGCAACGGGCGGCUCGCCGCCAGCAAUCAGCGUCAGCGACUUGCCUUUGUCUGGCCCUCGUGGCCUUGCAAGACGAUGCUGCAGCACAGGCCGAUCACCAAUUCUGCAAUUCUCUCAAUCUAAUUGGCAUCGAGGUUAUAGGUUAUAUUGUUAGAAAAAUGUGUCAAUGUCCCCUAUAGCAACUUCAGAAUAAGGUACUGACAUAUUCAUGCAAGUCAUUUUUCUUCACAUCAUUACUUUUAUUUCACUUUACAAUGAACUUGGUUAUCGCGUGGAGAAUGAACUAGUUAUAUUGUGCCCAUAUUUUAGUUUAUAUGGGUGUUUGUCUUGUUGA
This is a long non-coding RNA of Triticum aestivum (bread wheat), 424 nucleotides long. RefSeq lists it as uncharacterized. The record is from RefSeq and is a predicted model, not a curated record. The transcript has 2 exons. Lineage: Eukaryota; Viridiplantae; Streptophyta; Magnoliopsida; Poales; Poaceae.